UUUCCGUAGGUGAACCUGCGGAAGGAUCAUUAUCGAGUUUUGACCGGGUUGUAGCUGGCCUUCCGAGGCAUGUGCACGCCCUGCUCAUCCACUCUACACCUGUGCACUUACUGUGGGCUUCAGAUUGCGAGGCACGCUCUUUACCGGGCUUGCGGAGCAUAUCUGUGCCUGCGUUUAUCACAAACUCUAUAAAGUAACAGAAUGUGUAUUGCGAUGUAACACAUUUAUAUACAACUUUCAGCAACGGAUCUCUUGGCUCUCGCAUCGAUGAAGAACGCAGCGAAAUGCGAUAAGUAAUGUGAAUUGCAGAAUUCAGUGAAUCAUCGAAUCUUUGAACGCACCUUGCGCUCCUUGGUAUUCCGAGGAGCAUGCCUGUUUGAGUGUCAUGAAAUCUUCAACCUACAAGCUUUUGUGGUUUGUAGGCUUGGACUUGGAGGCUUGUCGGCCGUUAUCGGUCGGCUCCUCUUAAAUGCAUUAGCUUGGUUCCUUGUGGAUCGGCUCUCGGUGUGAUAAUGUCUACGCCGCGACCGUGAAGCGUUUGGCGAGCUUCUAACCGUCUUAUAAGACAGCUUUAUGACCUCUGACCUCAAAUCAGGUAGGACUACCCGCUGAACUUAA
RNAcentral lists this ribosomal RNA (618 nucleotides) under Ganoderma lucidum. RNAcentral describes it as "eukaryotic LSU rRNA". The stretch from base 233 to 386 matches the Rfam family "5.8S ribosomal RNA". RNAcentral also lists the same sequence under 1 other name. Lineage: Eukaryota; Fungi; Basidiomycota; Agaricomycetes; Polyporales; Polyporaceae. The record is from RNAcentral.